CCCUCCAUGGAUGAGAACGACGACCAGGGCAUCCAUGUUCGAGAGCUCAACGGCUCCUGGGGUAAGCAGCACCCCCAAAUGGUUGCUUCGCUUUUCAAAGCCUUCUUUUUUGUUUGUGUGGGCUGGAAAUGUGUGAGCUUUAUAUGGCACAAGGGUGUGCAUUCACUGACGAAUCAUUAUAUCUUCCGCAUAGACUGUUUAGUUCCUUUUGUUAUGGUGAGUGUUACUCUGAAGUCUUAUAUCUUUGAUAUUAUGAAUGUUUGAAGUCUGAACAUCCUAUGUAUGACGAUGUGUAUAUUUUAGAAGUAGUGUGUUCGUGCAUAUCUAUUUUGAAGCUGGUUAUUCUAAUAAUUUGUUCUUUGUGUACCAUAUGUUGGUUACUCUAAUAAUUUGUUCUUUGUGUACCAUAUGUUGGUUACUCUAAUAAUUUGUUCUUUGUGUACCAUAUGUUAUCUUUUCUCCUCUUGUUGAUAUUCAUGUCAAACUGAACAAAAUACUAACUGUUGCAAUUUGAGCUGGUUUUUCCUUAUUAUUUAUCCUUAUAUUUUCCUCCACAGUUAUGUGUUAUCGCAAUACAAGCAUAAAUCUAUGAUGGUAUAAACCAAGCAUUCAUGUUAUAAGAUGGUUCAUUCUCCGCAAGUCAUGGUCUUCAUCAUCGACCACAAGGAAGAGCAGCUUAAAAUCUAGCAUGGGCAUUAAUUGGCAGCUCCAGAUCUUGGUCGGAUACAUGGGGUGCGGAGCCAACUUGCCAUCCCUCUCCUCUCUCCUUGCACCCCCCCCCCUCCAAUUUUCCAAUGAGGAAACCAAACGGCGGCACCCUGUGACUUGCCUCAUCUUUAUCCGUAGCUACGGAAUGUACAGUUUCAUAACUGUUGUCAUAAACACAUUUUCUCUCAGUGCCAUGGUUGGAAGAUUCAUAGUUAAAUAAUUUGACAAAGUUAUUAUCUCUUUUCAUUUGCCAAUUGUCUACUCUGUGCUAACUAUGUAUGUUGUGCAAAAAUAGUUCCAGAUAAAUAUGUUCUUGCAACAUACUUAAAAGAGCAUGUUCUUAAAAACAGCGGCACCCUGUGACUUGGAGAACUUAUGUUGAUAUCUAGCAACAGACUUAAAAAGAGCAUGGGAACAAUUUUGAAAAAUAGAUGCCACUUUGUUUCUUAGCUCUAUAUGCUCUUGCACAAAGUAUAUUGCUUAUGUGGUCGCUACCAAACAUCUGAUAGAUUCCUUCAUUUUGAUGAUAAUUCUUUGGACAUACCUUGGGAGAUACGAAUCUUUUAUGUAUAGAUAGAUUAAAAUAUUCCUAUGUGAAGUAUUUGAGUAAAGUGGCCUUAACAGCUACCAUUAUUUAUUCAUAUCAAAGCGAGUAUUCAUAUUUGGUUGCCAGCUGUUUAGCGGCCAAUGCGCGGUAAGCCGCGCCACAGAUUUGCAGCACACUAGACAACAUUUGUUCUGCUAAGGCUUUCCUACCUUUCUUUUAGUUUGUGCUCUGAAUAUGAUCAUGUGACCUGCUUUCUUUAGUUCAUUAAAAUUUAGUCAUACUUUUCUGCUAAAUCUUCAGUUCUUUCACUUACGAUUAUGUGACCCGCUUUCUUUUCUUCUCCAUACAAUCUACAUGUUACUGUUACAUACAUGUGGGAGCAUAUUAAAUCUGUCCAUUGAAUUUUAGUCAAAUGGAUUUAAUUUAAGGCAUGUUAUGUAUUUUUCAUAUCUUCUGCCUUUCAAGUGAUGUUGGUAGCACACAUUUAGUUAUUUACCAAUGCAUGUAUUGUUCAUGUCCUCUGCAUUGUUCAUUGAGCACAAAAGUAUCACUAUUUAGGUAAAUUAUAUGAUGGGUUAUAGGAUUGCAUGAACUGCUAACCGGUUUCUAUCCUUUUAACAGAAUAUGGUCUACUCUAAUCUCUACCUGGAUUGUGUCAUGUUGGGAGGGUGAUGGAUGCGCCAUGGGCAAGUCCAUCUGAUAAAAGGUGUGGACGGAAGAGCGACAAUAACUACGGAGUUGGUCAAAGAUUGAAAGAAAUCUCUUAUGUGUCUUCGGUUUCGACAGUACGCAUAGGUUUAUGUGAUGUGGCGUAUGAAAGGUCGAACGUCAAGACGCUCAGGUGGAUCUAUCAAAAAAUAUGCUUCUAUGGAAUUAAGUAGGUUUUUUGUCUCACAUUGCUGCCAUAGCUUGCUUUUGUUGUAUGAAAAGUAUGCUAUAUGUAUCUAACUUGAUGCGGAUUGAUCGACCUUGCUUGCUUUUGGCACAAGUAUAUAUUU
This is a long non-coding RNA of Triticum dicoccoides, 2253 nucleotides long. RefSeq lists it as uncharacterized. Lineage: Eukaryota; Viridiplantae; Streptophyta; Magnoliopsida; Poales; Poaceae. The transcript is spliced from 4 exons. The record is from RefSeq and is a predicted model, not a curated record.